This 304-nucleotide long non-coding RNA is filed under the name Mytilus galloprovincialis (Mediterranean mussel). Lineage: Eukaryota; Metazoa; Mollusca; Bivalvia; Mytilida; Mytilidae. The record is from RNAcentral.
UAUAAACGCCCAUAACUGAAACACAACAUUGGUGUCAGAUGUGAACGCUGUCGUGGCUAUAAAUUGAGUUUUUGUGUGUCUAUUUUGACGCGGUCAAUUUCAUAUUUGGCGGGAUUCUGAAAAUAUAUUUUCGUGAUUUCGCACGUGGGUCUGUAAUAAACUAUUGCAUACACACUUACAUUUAUUCCCCUGAAUUAACAUAUAAUUACUGUUCAUAACUUAUGUGAUUUGUAAUUACAGGGAGCAGAAGUUGUAACUUGUAAAAAAUAAUAAUAUUGAAAUAAAGUGUUCAUUUCAAUUUUGC